This 400-nucleotide ribosomal RNA is filed under the name uncultured bacterium. RNAcentral describes it as "bacterial SSU rRNA". It matches the Rfam family "Bacterial small subunit ribosomal RNA", at positions 355 to 752 of the family's 1533-position model. The record is from RNAcentral.
UGAGGAAUAUUGGUCAAUGGCCGGAAGGCUGAACCAGCCAUGCCGCGUGAAGGUCAGUGCCCUAUGGGCGUUAAACUUCUUUUGUGCGGGAGCAAUAAUGGUCACGUGUGGCCAGACGAGAGUACCGUACGAAUAAGCAUCGGCUAACUCCGUGCCAGCAGCCGCGGUAAUACGGGGGAUGCAAGCGUUAUCCGGAUUUAUUGGGUUUAAAGGGUGCGUAGGCUGUGAGGUAAGUCAGCGGUGAAAUGCCCCCGCUCAACGGGGUGAAGUGCCAUUGAUACUGCCUUGCUGGAAUGCGGAUGCCGUGGGAGGAAUGUGUGGUGUAGCGGUGAAAUGCAUAGAUAUCACACAGAACACCGAUUGCGAAGGCAUCUCACGAAUCCGCGAUUGACGCUGAUGC